UACGGAGGGGGCGAGCGUUGUCCGAAUUUACUGGGCGUAAAGCGCACGUAGGCGGCUGGGUAAGUCUGCCGUGAAAGCCCGGAGCUCAACUCCGGCGGGUCGGUGGAUACUGCUCGGCUAGAAGGCGCUAGGGGAAGAUGGAAUUACUGGUGUAGCGGUGAAAUGCGUAGAUAUCAGUAGGAACACCCAUGGCGAAGGCAGUCUUCUGGGGCGUACUUGACGCUGAGGUGCGAAAGCUGGGGGAGCGAACGGGAUUAGAUACCCCGGUAGUCCCAGCCCUAAACGAUGGAUACUAGGUGUGGGGGGUAUCGACCCCUCCCGCGCCGUCGCUAACGCAAUAAGUAUCCCGCCUGGGGAGUACGGCCGCAAGGUUG
Molecule: ribosomal RNA, 374 nt
Filed under: uncultured prokaryote
Description: bacterial SSU rRNA
Rfam family: Bacterial small subunit ribosomal RNA
Source: RNAcentral